Molecule: long non-coding RNA, 1487 nt
Organism: Homo sapiens (human)
Lineage: Eukaryota; Metazoa; Chordata; Mammalia; Primates; Hominidae
Source: Ensembl
AGGCAGUGGUAUAAUAUGUAACUGGAAAAGAAAACCCCUCCUGUUAUAUUUUCCCUUAUACGUUACUAGCACAUGCAGUGCACGUUAAGAACAAUAGUCUUUUGUUCUGUUCUGUUUAUAAAAAGAAGAAAAAGCAUCCAGAACAAUGGGUGAGAAGAAACAAAAACCUGUCGCCUAAAUCAAGGGAUUGGUAUUCUCCAAAUCAUUGCUACCGCAUUGAGCCAUUUUCUCUGAUUCAGGCUGCCCCUGCUGAAUUUUAGAGAGCGUCAAAACUUAUUGGUUAAAGGGAUGCCUUUAUGAGUAAAACAUGAGAAAUAUUCACUUACUAGGUAAGCAAUUUGUAAGGACUGGAAGUAGAAAUUAAGCAACCAAGACAAGAAGGCUGUCCUAUCAGUUUCAAGAACAACUAAGAGGAUGUUAAAGGACAGCAGAGGGAGCCCCUGCAUGACUUAAGAAAACCGAAGGCAGGCAGAACAGAGACUUUUCAGGGUGCGAAGUUACGCAUGGUGCCCUCUACUGGAGUCACUGGUAAAGAGUUUUGAUUUCAAAAAGAAAUUGACGUAGAAUUUGUUCUUGUUCCAUUGUAUUGGUGAAGAAACUGAAGUUCAAAGUAAUUGGCAGAACAUACUACUUUGGGCAGUAUGGGAGUAGAGGCCUAUGGACGACCAGCAACAGGCUAGGGAUAAGAGUGGAGAUCUGAAUACAAGAAACUAGUAUUCAGGAUACGGGUCCUGGUUGUGAUUCUCUCCUAAUCCUUCGUGUGACUGGAGUUAUGUCGUGUGACUCUCAUAAACAAUGGGUUUUCCUUCUUUGUACGUAAUAGUUGGCAGAAGUGGUUACGUCCUUGCCACAAGGAAAAAGUCUCAUGAGAUGAUUAAUCUAAAACUUAUUUUAGAAAUAUAAAGGACUUUAUGAAUUCAAGGCAGUAUAUUAAGAAAAUAUCCCCUCAAACAAUGAACCAAUGAGACUGGCAAAGAUCUUGAUUUUCCUGAUUUUCAUUUAGAUUCUUAACAUUUGAGUCCAUUGAUAUAUUCGAAGCUCUACCCUUCUGGAAAAUAUCAUAAGAUUUGAAAAAUAUAGCUGCAAAGAGCAAAAGAAGAUUUGCGUCUCAAUAGAAAAGAUCUACAGAUUGAAUAUUGCAUAGAAAACAAUUUAUUCACCUUACAAAGAUAAAAGGAUGAAAACGCCCUGAGCAGUAAUAAAACUUCGCCAUUUUGGGGAGGGCCUCAAGAGGCUAUCUUAUCAAUCUUGGUCGUUGGAAAAGUAUCUGUAAUCUCAAAGAAAACUUUAAAUACUGUCCAAGGAAAAUAUCCAAAUACAUCUUAAAAUGCCACUGUUUUUUAUUCUUUUGCCUUCAGUGAAAGUAUCUUUGCCCAUCCUUUCACAUGGGAAAAAUCCAUUUAGAAUUAGAAUGUUAUUGUUUACAGAUUUGUUCUACAUUAUUAACAUAACCUAAUAAAAUAUCCUAACAACUAGUUAAAACAUAA